This 425-nucleotide ribosomal RNA is filed under the name uncultured bacterium. RNAcentral describes it as "partial 16S ribosomal RNA". It matches the Rfam family "Bacterial small subunit ribosomal RNA", at positions 354 to 796 of the family's 1533-position model. The record is from RNAcentral.
GUGGGGAAUCUUGCGCAAUGGGCGAAAGCCUGACGCAGCCAUGCCGCGUGAAUGAUGAAGGUCUUAGGAUUGUAAAAUUCUUUCACCGGGGACGAUAAUGACGGUACCCGGAGAAGAAGCUCCGGCUAACUUCGUGCCAGCAGCCGCGGUAAUACGAAGGGGGUUAGCGUUGUUCGGAAUUACUGGGCGUAAAGCGCGCGUAGGCGGAUCGGAAAGUUGGGGGUGAAAUCCCGGGGCUCAACCCCGGAAUUGCCUUCAAAACUCCCGGUCUUGAGGUCGAGAGAGGUGAGUGGAAUUCCGAGUGUAGAGGUGAAAUUCGUAGAUAUUCGGAGGAACACCAGUGGCGAAGGCGGCUCACUGGCUCGAUACUGACGCUGAGGUGCGAAAGCGUGGGGAGCAAACAGGAUUAGAAACCCUGGUAGUCC